Molecule: non-coding RNA, 1208 nt
Organism: Macaca mulatta (Rhesus monkey)
Lineage: Eukaryota; Metazoa; Chordata; Mammalia; Primates; Cercopithecidae
Source: RefSeq, a predicted model, not a curated record
GGUAGAAUCAGUGACUGCAUGGCUCAGAGAGAGGCUGCGGAGCCAGGCAAGCCUCGGUUCAGACUUGGCUGCUCAUGAACAGUGUGACCUUGGCAAAUUAUGGGGUUUCUUAAAGCCUGUUUCUUCAUUUAUAAGUUACCCUGUGACACCAACCAGAAAUUGGAAACUUCUUUUGUCUUGGAAGCUGCAGACUUUCUUUAAGAACGAUUAAUGAGAAAUGGUGCACAGAUCAGGAGCAUGAACUGUUCUCUCAUGUUGAAUGUGGCAGUUUUCACAUACAAGCAGGAGAGAAAUUACACCAAGAUUUUGGAAAACAUGUUAUGUAAGGUUAUUGUGACCUCUAUGAUGGGGAUCUGAUAAAGAAGAAAAACACCUCACAGCGAUGACUGGCAUGUGAUCACUUAGCCAAUGAGAUAAGAGGCUGUAGAAAUGAUGUGAUAAUGACGUCUCCUGAGUUCCAGGUCCAUAUUAGCAGUGGAUAUGAGAUUUAAGGAAUCCUGUUCCUCUUUUCUCUUAAGCUAUCCGUAACUUACAGCAAUUUGAAAUUUUCCUCAUUAAAUGCCUGAAUGCUUGCACCAUACAGCAAAUAUCCACUGCUAUUAGGUCCCAACAGGUGACUCAGCUGGCUGUUAAUGAACAGUUUGGUCAAAGGUAUUCAGUAUCCUGCUAAUUGUAAUCCGAUCUCCCCUGGAGAGAAAAUGAAGCUGCUCACCUUCAUGAUUUUGUCUGGAAUCUGGAUGAUCUUUUGCCUGGACAAUGGUCAACACGCAAUUUGGCUUUGAAGAGUCGGGCCCACAAUCUCAAUUGUGAUACAGAGAAGAGCCCACAUUUCUACUCAGAUUUUUGCUAUAAAGAUAGACUUCGUAUCUAAAAUAAUAAAGAAUUAAUUGAUACCUCACAGUCUUUUCAUAAUAGUGAUCUCAUGUGGAAUACAGAGGGACUCCUUCAACAGCUCACAGGAAAACAGCUGUGUGAUUCACAGGAAGAUGAGACCAUCUAGUUGCAGGAAAACAAGCUCAGAACUCCCACUGAUUCUACAUUACGAAUUUUCUCAAGAAAAGUCAGGAGGCAACUGCAUGUAUUACUACAGUAAGAAUUAAAGAAAGAGGAAAGAAACAUGAAAGGUGGCUUGCCAGUCAAGACAGGUUUAUUUUGGAGAAAACAAACCUGAGAGGAGCUUCUUGCCAAGGUAGGUCAGAGGCACACUC